Molecule: small nuclear RNA, 306 nt
Filed under: Erinaceus europaeus (western European hedgehog)
Lineage: Eukaryota; Metazoa; Chordata; Mammalia; Eulipotyphla; Erinaceidae
Description: 7SK RNA
Rfam family: 7SK RNA
About the family: 7SK was discovered as an abundant small nuclear RNA in the mid-70s but a possible function has only recently been suggested.
Source: Rfam by way of RNAcentral
GGAUGUGAGCGUGAUCUGGCUGCGACAUCUGCCACCCCUUUUAUCGCCAGGGUUGAUUCAGCUAAUCUGGCUGGCUAGGUGGGUGUUCCCUUCCUUCCUCACCACUUCAUGUGCGUCCCUCCUGAAGCUGCAUGCUCAGUCGAAGAGGACAGCCUUCCCAGAAUAGAGAUGGACUGGUCUUCAGUCGAGGGUAUAUGAGUAGCUGCACUCCCCUGCUAGAACCUCCAAACAAGCUCUCAAAGUCCUUGAUCCACUUGGAAUUUACUUUUGUGUUUGGUGAAAUAUACUGGUUCAGUUUCUUUCUUU